UGCCGCAUCGUCGGCCCCAUCAGGGGUGUU
Molecule: small RNA, 30 nt
Filed under: Bombyx mori (domestic silkworm)
Lineage: Eukaryota; Metazoa; Arthropoda; Insecta; Lepidoptera; Bombycidae
Description: ovarian small RNA-33778
Source: RNAcentral